RNAcentral lists this ribosomal RNA (346 nucleotides) under uncultured bacterium. RNAcentral describes it as "partial 16S ribosomal RNA". It matches the Rfam family "Bacterial small subunit ribosomal RNA", at positions 338 to 681 of the family's 1533-position model. The record is from RNAcentral.
CCUACGGGGGGCAGCAGUGAGGAAUAUUGGUCAAUGGGCGCGAGCCGGAACCAGCCAAGUAGCGGGAAGGAUGAAUGCCCUACGGGGUGUAAACUUCGUGUAUAAAGGAAUAAAGUGAGGCACGUGGGCCUUUUUGUAUGUACUUUAUGAAUAAGGAUCGGCUAACUCCGUGCCAGCAGCCGCGGUAAUACGGAGGAUCCGAGCGUUAUCCGGAUUUAUUGGGUUUAAAGGGAGCGUAGAGGGGUUGGUAAGUCAGUUGUGCAAGUUUGCGGCUCAACCGUAAAAUUGCAUUUGUUACUGGCAGCCUUGAGUCCAGUUGAGGUAGGCGUAAUUCGUGGUGUAGCGG